GAUGAAGAACGUAGCGAAAUGCGAUAAGUAGUGUGAAUUGCAGAAUUCAGUGAAUCAUCGAAUCUUUGAACGCACAUUGCGCCCCUUGGUAUUCCAUGGGGCAUGCCUGUUCGAGCGUCAUUUGUACCUUCAAGCUCUGCUUGGUGUUGGGUGUUUGUCUCGCCUCUGCGUGUAGACUCGCCUCAAAACAAUUGGCAGCCGGCGUAUUGAUUUCGGAGCGCAGUACAUCUCGCGCUUUGCACUCCUAACGACGACGUCCAAAAGUACAUUUUUACCCUCUUGACCUCGGAUCAGGUAGGGAUACCCGCUGAACUUAAGCAUAUCAAUAAGCGGAGGA
This 337-nucleotide unclassified non-coding RNA is filed under the name soil metagenome. RNAcentral's name for it is "partial contains 5.8S ribosomal RNA, internal transcribed spacer 2, and large subunit ribosomal RNA". The stretch from base 1 to 120 matches the Rfam family "5.8S ribosomal RNA", at positions 35 to 154 of the family's 154-position model. The record is from RNAcentral.